GUCUCCCUGUAGCUCAGUGGUUAGAACAUCCGACCGGUGUGCAGAAGGUCAUGCGUUCGACUCCCGUCGGGGACU
RNAcentral lists this transfer RNA (75 nucleotides) under Desmophyllum pertusum. RNAcentral's name for it is "tRNA-Thr". The record is from RNAcentral. Lineage: Eukaryota; Metazoa; Cnidaria; Anthozoa; Scleractinia; Caryophylliidae.